Molecule: ribosomal RNA, 253 nt
Filed under: uncultured bacterium
Lineage: Bacteria
Description: partial 16S ribosomal RNA
Rfam family: Bacterial small subunit ribosomal RNA
Source: RNAcentral
UACGGGGGGGGCAAGCGUUGUUCGGAAUUACUGGGCGUAAAGGGCGCGUAGGUGGCCUUCUUAGUCAGACGUGAAAUCCCCGGGCUUAACUCGGGAACUGCGUCUGAUACUGGAAGGCUUGAGUUCGGGAGAGGAAUGUGGAAUUCCAGGUGUAGCGGUGAAAUGCGUAGAUAUCUGGAGGAACACCGGUGGCGAAGGCGGCAUUCUGGACCGAAACUGACGCUGAGGCGCGAAAGCCAGGGGAGCAAACGGG